Molecule: long non-coding RNA, 416 nt
Organism: Talpa occidentalis (Iberian mole)
Lineage: Eukaryota; Metazoa; Chordata; Mammalia; Eulipotyphla; Talpidae
Exons: 3
Source: RefSeq, a predicted model, not a curated record
CAGUUCUACAAUCAAUUUUAAAAUAUGGAACACUUGGAGAAUUUGUGGGGCAUCAGUGUGCAGGGACCAUGUUAUUUUUCUCUGCAUCCUCCCAAUUUUAGUGUAAGUGCGUGUGAAGCCAGCACGACUCCAGGGAAUCUACGCUGCCUGGGAGUGACUGCAUACCCGUGGGGAACUGGAAUGAGGAAACCUACAGAAAGUGCAGCCUGUAUUUGAAGAAAGUGUGAGACUGACUAAGCUCUAGCUACACGAUCUACCGGAACAUGGGACACAUUUUCACACCUCUGUGACUACUAUGCAUAUGUUGUUUCCUCUGCCUAGAGUGCCCCUGCUUUUCUUGUUGAAGAACUCUUACUCAUACCUCAAGACCCCACUUAAAAGUUGAUGCCUCUUCAAAGCCUUCUUUGAUUCCCCAG